This 107-nucleotide transfer RNA is filed under the name Marisediminitalea aggregata. It matches the Rfam family "tRNA". From Rfam's summary of the family: Transfer RNA (tRNA) molecules are approximately 80 nucleotides in length. Their secondary structure includes four short double-helical elements and three loops (D, anti-codon, and T loops). The record is from RNAcentral. RNAcentral also lists the same sequence under 1 other name. Lineage: Bacteria; Pseudomonadati; Pseudomonadota; Gammaproteobacteria; Alteromonadales; Alteromonadaceae.
GCCCACUAGUUCAAUGGUAGAACGCCCCCCUCAAUCAGAGCAUAACAAGUAAGAUAGGUUGUGCUUUGAUUAAGGGGGUAAUCUCGGUUCAAAUCCGAGAGUGGGCA